AUGGAAGAUGAUUCGUCAUGGGAAGCUCUUCCAAUUGAGCGCAUCAGAAUUCCUGCAUUCAACUUUCGAGUUAUUUCAGAGGCUAGCAAUGGAGAAAAUGAAUUGCCAGUUUCAUUGGAUGCCGCAGUUCCUGAUGACAUUCUUGAGAAAAUUUUCACCUUCUUGCCAAUAGCAAGCAUGAUAAGGUCAACAGCGGUAUGCAAGAGAUGGCAUGAUAUUAUCUACUCAAGCCGGUAUCUUUGGACCCACAUGUUGCCUCAGAGGCCCUGGUACUUCAUGUUCACCUGUAACGAGACUGCUUCUGGAUAUGCUUAUGACCCCAUCCUCCAUAAAUGGUAUGAUUUAGAGCUUCAAGGCAUUGACAAGAGCAGCUGUUUCGUCUCUUCUUCUUGUGGGCUAGUUUGCUUCAUGGAUAAUGACAACAGAAACAUCAUUUCUGUAUCUAACCCUAUUACAAAAGAUUGGAAGAGGCUGUUGGAGCCCCCAGGUGCAAAGUUUCCAGAUUACAGCACUGUUGCCUUAAAGGUAGAUCAGGUGACUCACAAUUACACUGUUACAUUGGCAAAAUCGAAGCAGGUACCUGAGGAUUAUGUCCAAUGGGAAUUCUCUUUAUACAAGUACGACUCACGGAGUAGUUCAUGGGUAACUGCAGUGAAGGAGGUGUUCAUUGGUUGGAGAGGGGGUGACGAUAGUGUGAUAUGUGGUGGAGUCUUGUACUGCUUGAUCCAGUCCACAGGUGUUCUUGGCAAUGUUGAGCCCCGUCACAGGCUCAUCAUGUAUGACCUUGUUGCGGGACCUUCUGAAACUUCACUAACGCAAUCCUCAAUCCCUGUACCUUGCUCUCUCACCUGCGGGCGUCUACUAAACCUGAGAGGGAAGCUGGUAAUGGUCGGCGGGAUAGCAAAGCCCAAUAGACCUGAUAUCAUCAAGGGAAUCGGUAUAUGGGAGCUUGACAAGACACAGUGGCAAGAGGUGAGUCGGAUGCCUCACAAAUUCUUCCAAGGAUUUGGUGAGUUGGAUGAUGUUUUUUGUAGCGGCGGUGCCGACGACCUUGUGUACAUCCAAAGCUAUGGUGCAACUGCUUUGCUUGGAUUUGACAUGAAGCAGAGGCAAUGGAAGUGGUCGGCAAAAUGCCCUGUGAGCAAAAAGUUUCCUCUCCAGCUGUUCACUGGCUUUUGCUUUGAGCCUCGGCUGGACAUUGCCACUUAA
RNAcentral lists this ribosomal RNA (1209 nucleotides) under Triticum aestivum (bread wheat). RNAcentral describes it as "partial small subunit ribosomal RNA". Lineage: Eukaryota; Viridiplantae; Streptophyta; Magnoliopsida; Poales; Poaceae. The record is from RNAcentral.